AUCUGAGAGAUCGCUGGCUAGCCGGCCUGUGUGCCUCUGGCUGAAUUUUUAUUUAUUUUGUUUCAUUUCAAUUUACUCAUGCAAAAGUGUUGAUUUUUUGUUCAGCUCUGCCCGGCUAUUACGUCAAUGGAACAAAAACACUGACGCUUGUAGUUGUACGAAUACGAGUAUCUCUAUCUGUAUCUGUAUCUUUGGCCGCAGCUGUAGAUGUAGAUGUAUCUGUAUCUUUGGCACUGCGGCAACUACAGUGUUCAUUUCAAUGUUUUUAGGUUCUGUUCUUCUCUUUCUCUCACUCUCUGAUUUAUCUGCCAUUCGCGAGUUUCUUUAUUUUUCACUAUUUCGGUUGUAUUUCUUUUUUUGCGAUUUAUUUUUUUGUUAUUAUUUCUAACAUGUAUUUUGCGGCGACGUCGACGCCAGCAGCGCUCACUUGUUAUUUCCCCUCCCCCUGUUUCUUCGCUGUAAUUUGUAUAAAUAAACACGAAAUUGUAGAAACGAGAAUAGAGAGAGGAGAACCCCGCGAAAACCGAGAAUAUUUUGCACAUUAACAAUUUAUGAAGGAGCUGGGGCAAUUAGAACGCCUUGAAAUUGGACUUUUCAAAGGGGUGGGAAUGAAGGUUAGCAUCUUCCCCAGGUGUAAAAAAAAAAAGUAGUAUUUAAAGGAACUCAAUAUUCUUCGAUUAGAACGAAGCGAAAAGUAUCUCUGCUGAUAAGAGCUCACACUCAAUUAAUUGCCUGGCGUAAACAAAAUAAUUAAAAUACGAAAAGCGCUCCUCGAACCUAUUUUAAUAGUUUUAAUUGACAUCAUUUUGUAAAUUCAUUCAGUUGCUGUGCGUUCUAUUAAGUCUAAGUGCAUCGUUUAUAAUCAUUAUUUUGCUAAGAGAAAAUCCUCACUAGGAUCUGGGUUUCAUAAAAAUGGAAUGUACUUUAAAUAUGGAAACAAGGAAUGAAAUAAAUUAAAAUGUCAUUAACCUAAUGGCAAAACUAUGGGUACAUAUGUACAUUAAAAUGUGGCCAAUAAACUUUCCAAAUAUUUAAAUGGCUUUUAUUGGCAUUCUAACGAACAUAUUACGAUUGAGCACGUUCUACAAUUUAAGUAUGGAAAUAUGUGUGAACUUAUUCAAAUGCGACCAUAUAUAUUUAUAACAAUAAAGUGGUGAAGAUACAUUUUUUAAUUUAA
Drosophila subpulchrella is the source of this 1177-nucleotide long non-coding RNA. RefSeq lists it as uncharacterized. The transcript has 2 exons. Lineage: Eukaryota; Metazoa; Arthropoda; Insecta; Diptera; Drosophilidae. The record is from RefSeq and is a predicted model, not a curated record.